Chlorocebus sabaeus (green monkey) is the source of this 75-nucleotide microRNA precursor. The record is from Ensembl. NCBI's taxonomy places the organism in Eukaryota, Metazoa, Chordata, Mammalia, Primates, Cercopithecidae.
GAUUAAGGGUGGGAUAAGGGAUUGAGGUGGAGCAGGAAUGCGCUUUUCUCCACUGACUCCUCUUUCCUCAGGUGG